CUGGGGGCUGCGGGCCCCGGCAGCCGCCGCGCUCCCCCCGCCCGGGGCGGGCAAAAGGCUGGGACCCGGAGCCGAGGCGCCGAGGGAGGGCAUCGGCAAACGGGGGGACGCGGGAAAGAGCCGCAGUUAAAAAAGAGUUAAAAAAAUAGAAGGAAAGAUCAAAGGGCUGGGAAAAAGACUCUUCAAAUUACACGUUUGAAGCUUUUCCAUAAUUCCAAGGCGACAGAUAGAUAACAAGCUGCACAUUCCUUAUCACAUAUGGAAUCAAUCCGAAAGGAGUCUCUUGAUCAGAAUCUGUUAAUUGCAGUGACAUAUGAUUUGGAAAGAAAACACAAUUAAUGACCCUUCAUGUUAAGGCUUUGGGAAGAGGCCACUGACAGUCUGCGCUCUGCAGCCGACGUCAACUUUCCUCCUCGCUGGCGAACUCUUAGGGGAGACGUCGCCCGCGCCCGGCGGCUGCCUGGCCUCCCCCCGCCGCAGCUCUCCCUCGGCGGCGGAGAGGGGACGGGACGGCAGCGUGCGCGCGUUUCCUUGCGGGUUUGGGGAGCUAAAAUGAUUUAGUGCCUUGCCUGUAAGUCUAAUGACCUAAGGUGAGAAAAAAUACUUCAUCUUUUAUUAUUACCAUUUGUGGUGACCGUUAGCAGGAAACAGCAGAACCCGUUUGAAAUGGUAAAUAUAUGUAUCCAUUUAAAAGCCAUUACUGCAGAGAUUUUCCCAAAGCGAAAUAACGCAAAUCUCCCCACUGACAUUUGCUAGCGCCCUCUGUCCACGGCAGCUGCCUGGCCGCCUCCGCCGCCGCCGCCGCCAGCGCCGAGGCACCACGGUGUGUUUCCGUGCGCGGGGGCCGUGUCCCCCAAGUGCGCGUUCCUGCGCGUUCCUGCGCGUUCCUGCGUGUGUGUACGUGCGUGUGUGCGUGUGCAAGCAGGAGUGUGCAUCGCAAACCUGUGGGCGCGCCACGCGUCCUGCAGUAUUAUGAAAGGAGGGAGCAACAUUUCUAAAAGCUUUACUCUGUCGUUAAAAGGUAAUGGCUUUGUUUUAGAAGAGAGAGGGAGAAAGAUGGAGAGAGAGAGAGAGGGGGGUUCAUUUGAAGGUUAUAAAGCAUACACUUUAAUAGGAUCGAAGUGAAAUUAGUUAAUAAGAAAAUGCUGGCCAGAAGCUCUCUGGGCUUUUAAGUGCUCUCCAGGCCAUUUAGGGAAAUUGAAUAAGAACAGACUCAGUUACCUGUAGACCCAACUAUUAUCUCCAGUUCUGCACAGAGGCGAGAAGGGAAAAGCAGUGCCUGGGAGACCUCAGUGCUGCACACCUCCUGCCAGCCUGUUUCCCCGGGGAGUAAUGUCCCCCUUCUGCUCACGGCAGCGGUCCCUCCUCCUCCUCCUCCUCCUCCCCCAGCCCCCGGCCUGCGCCGUUCGCCGCGAGGGGGUCGGCGGCGGCAGGGCCCGGGCAGGGCCGCCCGCCCGCGGGGCUUUCGGCUGCGGCCGCGCCGCGCUGUUCCCACCGUUGCGGCGCUUCGCUGCUCCGCGCUCGGCGCGCUGCCAGCAGGGCAGUGUGUUGGGUUACCCGACUGCCGACCGGCGACCCCGCUCGCUCUCCCUAAACUUUACAGUGUUUGGAGGUGUUAAUAAAACCUUUCCUUUGGUAAAUCGUUCAUUAGAAACCCCACCGAAACCUGGACAGGCUUCAGAAAAAACAGCGCUCAGGAAUGAGACGUUGGGAGAAGGCUUUUGUCCAAAAAAUGCACAAUUGCUGUGAAUCUUAGGAAACAUUAAUCUUUAUAGGAAUUUGUGAUUCAUAUCUGUGGUUUGACCGUUUAGGUGAUUUAUAAUCUGUUAGUGCAAUUCACUAAUUUUAUGCCAAUGUAUUUUAUGCGCGCUGCUAGACUUUCCGCAGUCCUCCGGAGUGAGCGCCUUCGGGGCACUGCGCGUGUAAACGCGGCUGCUUGGCUCCGGCGGGCAGCGGGGGGGUCGCUCGGCGCUGCUCCCCUCGCCCCUCCCGGCCCGUCCCACGCGUGGGAGCCGCGGCGGGCUCAGCCCGCCCGUUCGCGCCCCCCCGGCGGCGAGGGGGCGAUUCCCCGACCUCCCGCCGGUCGCGCGGAAAGCCCGCGGGCGCGGACAGCUCCGCGGCGUUUGCAGCUCGCUUUGGUAGCUGGAGGGGGAAAAACGAGAAAAGAGAAGCAGCAGCAGCUGCGCCGAAGAUAACGCUGCGCGGGGUCUAAUCUCGUGACACAAUCAUUAAUUACUAUUGUAUUAAUUACUAUUUUUCCGAAACAGCCCCUGCCCGGAAGAGCUCCCAGCCCACGUCUGCUGUGUAAUGACACUCCGGUUCAGAAACGAUUCCUCCUUUAGCUCCUAGGAUAUCCUUUUCCUUCAGAGUCUCCAGAAAUUACAAGACAGGCUGCUUUCUUGGGGCCAUUCAUUAGGAGGCUGACAAGAACCUACAUGAUUCUGGUCCGGAGAGGGAGAAAGAGAAGAUGCUCUACAAUGUCCGAGGAAAAUUAAGCUGUGAACUGGAAUUCCAUCAGGCUGUCUACUGUGAAGCCCUGUGGCUUUAGCAAAGGGGCAGCAGUGGUCAGAAAUGACACUCAAAAGAGAGCUACAGUGAAACCCCACAGCAUUCCCCAGCUUCCAGAGAGCAGACAGCUUUGUGCUCUAAGUACCACGGUAGAAAUUCCCAGACACCCUGGAUACACAGUCAGCACCUAGCCAGGCUGACUCUGCCUUUGACCUCUCUGGGACUGUAUUCCCUACUUUAGGAGAAGGAUUGGCUUUUGGAUCCGAACAUGCAACUGCCCAAGCCAGCUUACAUGCUGAUCGGUAUCUGAUGCAGCCUGGGAAUAAUCUGGCACCAGCUUCUUGGGCAGCCAUGGGACAGCUUCUGAGGAACAUUUAAGUAGACGGUGAUCCUACAGCCUGAAGAAAGUGCAGCGGAUGAAAGCACUGCUCGGUGUCCGUAAAUAGGCGAUGGCCGUCCGUCCAUAGCCGGCAGCACUGCCCUCAUCCCAUCUCGCCGUAGGGAGGAGGCUGAGUCUAGCCCCCACAUCGGAGCAGCUGGGGCUGCCCAAGCUUUCCCUGUGAAAGGGUUUUUCUUUCCCCACAAACCUCUUAUGCAGCAUUAGAGAAGCCCCAUGCGAUGAAAUCACCAGUUUUCAUGCACUGUAAUUAUUCCAAUUUAGGUAAACUGGUCGCAGACACACAAACUUCAUGCAUACAAGUCCUUUAAACACAACAGAGGGUGAAACAAAGAGGCAAAUCAGCCGAGAUGCGAGGUAACGCUAAGUACCCAUCAUGCAGGUGCAGUGAGAGAUGCCUGUGAGGUUCUUUGCUUCCUCCCUCUUCAUAUAUAGAGUAAAAUCUUGGCCCAAGAAGCAUUAAUAGGAAAAAUUUAGCAUUUCACCUGGAGUAUUUCUCAUGGUGAUGCGGGCUGGAUUUGAGUUAAACAAGGACAGGCAGGCUGAAGAGAGAUUAAAACCGGAGGCAGAAAGGGAGCUUGCAGAGAGCAUAGGUAUAUGUCAGGAACAGAGCUAGCAAAGAAAGACAGACUAAAUCAAAUGUAUCCAAGAUAAUUUGCAAGGAUAGUAAAACCAAGUAAAACAUAUACAUUAGUGAAAGCUAAGAUAAAGGUGAAGCUGAAGAAAUAGGCUUAAAUAUACCACAGUUGCCUUUCCAGUAGUUCAUUUGGGUUUUUUUUCCAUAAUAAUUUCUCAUGUUUAUUUUGGCAUUUGUGGGGAAAAAUGUCAAUGAGAGAGCUGCUUUUAGUGUGCCUCGCUGGAUGACGUUGAGCUAUUCCAGUACCACAGCAGCUAUUUUCCAGCAGAUUAACAUUCAGAUACUGGGAGAGUUCAUCUAGUUCACAUAUAUCUGCAUAGAAUUUUUAUUAACUUUUAACUUUUUUUAUUUGCUGGGCCACCUACAAAAUGAAAACAGAUUGCUUACAUUCUUUUAAGAUAGAAGAAACAAAUUUUUUAAAAAAGUCUAUAAAUACAUGCCUUGCUGAAAAGAUGAAAGCGCUAGCCUUUUGCACAGUGGCAUUGAGUUCCCAGCCCUUCUAAAUGAAAAGAAAAAACAACUUAAUUGUCUCCUUACUGGAUUCAUUUUUUCCUGCUUGUUUGCACUGAAGAGAAACAUGCCAUCAGAAAAAAAAUGGAUGCGAGCAAAAUUAAGGCACUGGGUUGGCACUCGGGAGAUCUGGUUUCAGUUCCUGGCUCUGUCAAACACUUCCUAUGUGACCUUGUAAAUGUCACUUUUGAGCAUGUAAAACCAUCUGGCCUGAUCUAGUGAAACAUGCAUUUAAUUUUAAGAUGCAAGUAGCUCCACUUCCAUCUCACACGCUUAAAUUUAAGCCAUGUUUACACGCCUUGCCGGUUGGGAGCCGCGCUGCUCAGCACCCUUCCAGGGUGCCGCUCGUUGCCCCCGCAGGCUUCAGGAUCCCCGUGGAAAGAGAAGAUGAACCAUAUCGCGUCCUUUUCGGCCGUACGUUGAGCAGAGCAGCGGCGGUCACGAGACUUGCACGUGCAGCGCCCAGCACGGUGGCCUCUCGCCUCUAAGUGCAAUGGGGACGCAAAUAAUUCGUGUUGAUAAAAGCUGCAAACCCGGAUGCCUCUGCUGUAAAUAUAAACCUGUAUUUAGGCACCUAAAUACUGGCCUGAUUUUCAGAGUUGCUGAGCAACCAACAUCCUCAUCAAGUCAAGAACCCGUGAACGCUUUGUACUUCAGAAAAUUAGGUCACUUAUUUGGAGGCUAAAAAUAGACUUUGAACCCCAAUUUUAGGGCUUGAAAAUAUGCCUUUAAAUGUACUCUGAUAAUAUAUUCUGUCCCUAGCCAUUAUAACUAGCCAUAUAGCAGAAAUGCUAUGUAAAAUUCAGAUUUAGAAGUAAAAAUAUCAUCAUUUAACCAUUUCGCUAUUUUCUAAAUGUAAUUAAAAAAAGUAGAAUUCCACUGAGACAUUUUAAAUAUAUGUAUAUAAUAUACAUAUGCGUAUACACACAUGUUUUUAAUGUACAUAGUAUACACAAUGUUAUUUUAUGGCAUAGCAGAUGUGUCUUAAUUCCCUGACACCACAUACUGAAGUCAGAUUAUGCCAGGCUAUUUUAUUAUGAAUAAUGUGCUUGCUCCGUCAUUAAGUGGGUUAUUAAAGACAUAAACAAACUUU
This is a long non-coding RNA of Dromaius novaehollandiae (emu), 5145 nucleotides long. RefSeq lists it as uncharacterized. The transcript is spliced from 8 exons. The record is from RefSeq and is a predicted model, not a curated record. NCBI's taxonomy places the organism in Eukaryota, Metazoa, Chordata, Aves, Casuariiformes, Dromaiidae.